Molecule: long non-coding RNA, 333 nt
Organism: Mauremys reevesii (Reeves's turtle)
Lineage: Eukaryota; Metazoa; Chordata; Testudines; Geoemydidae
Exons: 3
Source: RefSeq, a predicted model, not a curated record
CACUGCUGUGAGGAUCUCCUCUGGGAACCCAACACUGAAAACCACUAUGUUACCUCUCUGCCCUAAUAAGAUAGAGCUUUGCUGGACUUAGACUAUGAGCAAACUCCAUGACACACCAGUCUGUCCACUUCACCGGCAAACUCCUCAAGACUCUGCCAGCCUUGACUUCACCUUGCAGCCACCAGUAUCUCCAGCCCUCCAAGCAAGAGGUCCAAUGUUUACAGAAUCAGAAGCAUGCCAAGUGAACACAUCAAUCAACGUCACCUUGAGAAAAUUGCCAAAAGCAGUGGAAGAAGAACAAGAGUAGGUUUAGCACUAAGGCCUAGAACACCC